CAGUAGCCGCGGGAAUACGUAGGUGGCAAGCGUUGUCCGGAAUUAUUGGGCGUAAAGCGAGCGCAGGCGGUCAAUUAAGUCUGAUGUGAAAGCCCCCGGCUCAACCGGGGAGGGUCAUUGGAAACUGGUUGACUUGAGUGCAGAAGAGGAGAGUGGAAUUCCAUGUGUAGCGGUGAAAUGCGUAGAUAUAUGGAGGAACACCAGUGGCGAAGGCGACUCUCUGGUCUGUAACUGACGCUGAGGAGCGAAAGCGUGGGGAGCGAACAGGAUUAGAUACCCCUGUAGUCCCUGUCUCUUAUAU
RNAcentral lists this ribosomal RNA (301 nucleotides) under uncultured bacterium. Its description in RNAcentral is "partial 16S ribosomal RNA". It matches the Rfam family "Bacterial small subunit ribosomal RNA", at positions 509 to 809 of the family's 1533-position model. The record is from RNAcentral.